AUUUGCUUUCAGCCGCAGAGAGAAGAAGCUGCCCAAGAAUGGAAAGGAAGAAAUAUAUCACAUCAUCUGUCUGUCCACAGGCUUUCCUUGGGGCUUAUGAAGUGAAUGAAGGAGGGAAGAAAGGAGAGACAGAGAAAAUAUGGAUUUCCUCAUGGUUGUGAUUCCUCUUCACUCUUUUGAAUUUGGAAGGAUGGCAUACACAUCUGAAAAAUACCACUACUUCCUUCAUUGGACUGCAAGGUAUUUCUGUUUGGAAAAGUAAUGGAGUCCAGUCAACUUCAUUGAUCGCCAAGGACUGUCAAAAUUAUAAAACUUGCUGUGGAGCUCUGACAUGCCAGAAGCCGCUAGAAAAAGAAGUUUGACAUUCAGAAACUUAUCAAGAGGUUCUACUCUUUGGAUAGAGACCAAAAUCAUACUUUGAAGGGAUUGCAGUGGCAAAGCUAGGCUAGGUCUUGGAGGCUGGUGUAAGGCGAUGUGGGUGAAGGCAGGAGGCUGAUGGAAAGACUGGGGGGAAGAAAAGCCGAAAUGGAUUCACGGUGCCUUGGAUGAAGGACGAGAGGGGAACUGCAAGCUCCUUCAACUGGUUCUGUCCGGUGAGAAGUGAUCAAG
Homo sapiens (human) is the source of this 609-nucleotide long non-coding RNA. Ensembl annotates it as SOX2 overlapping transcript. Its record names the gene SOX2-OT. The record is from Ensembl. NCBI's taxonomy places the organism in Eukaryota, Metazoa, Chordata, Mammalia, Primates, Hominidae.